UACGGAAGGCAGCAGUGGGGAAUAUUGCACAAUGGGCGCAAGCCUGAUGCAGCCAUGCCGCGUGUAUGAAAAAGGCCUUCGGGUUGUAAAGUACUUUCAGUCGUGAGGAAGGUGUUAAGGUUAAUAACCUUAGCAAUUGACGUUAGCGACAGAAGAAGCACCGGCUAACUCCGUGCCAGCAGCCGCGGUAAUACGGAGGGUGCGAGCGUUAAUCGGAAUUACUGGGCGUAAAGGGCACGCAGGCGGUUAAUUAAGUUGGAUGUGAAAUCCCCGGGCUUAACCUGGGAAUGGCAUUCAAGACUGGUUAGCUAGAGUCUUGUAGAGGGGGUAGAAUUCCAUGUGUAGCGGUGAAAUGCGUAGAGAUGUGGAGGAAUACCGGUGGCGAAGGCGGCCCCUGGACAAAGACUGACGCUCAUGUGCGAAAGCGUGGGGAGCAAACAGGGAUUAGGAUACCCG
RNAcentral lists this ribosomal RNA (456 nucleotides) under uncultured bacterium. Its description in RNAcentral is "bacterial SSU rRNA". It matches the Rfam family "Bacterial small subunit ribosomal RNA", at positions 340 to 789 of the family's 1533-position model. The record is from RNAcentral.